RNAcentral lists this ribosomal RNA (451 nucleotides) under uncultured bacterium. Its description in RNAcentral is "partial 16S ribosomal RNA". It matches the Rfam family "Bacterial small subunit ribosomal RNA", at positions 28 to 507 of the family's 1533-position model. The record is from RNAcentral.
GAUGAAUGCUGGCGGCGUGCCUAACACAUGCAAGUCGAGCGGCAGCGAGGGGUGCUUGCACCCUGUCGGCGAGCGGCGAACGGCUGAGUAACGCGUAGGAAUUUGCCCCAAAGUGAGGAAUAACUGCCCGAAAGGGUAGCUAAUGCCGCAUAUGGUCUUCGGAUUAAAGGAUUUAUCCGCUUUGGGAGAAGCCUGCGUUGGAUUCGGUUGUUGGUAGGGUAAUGGCCUACCAAGCCGACGAUCCAUAGCUGGUCUGAGAGGAUGAUCAGCCAGACUGGAACUGAGACACGGUCCAGACUCCUACGGGAGGCAGCAGUGAGGAAUCUUCCACAAUGGGCGAAAGCCUGAUGGAGCAACGCCGCGUGAAGGAUGAAGGCCUUCGGGUUGUAAACUUCUUUUAUGAGUGAAGAAUAUGACGGUAACUAAUGAAUAAGCACCGGCUAACUACGUG